CCUACGGGAGGCAGCAGUGAGGAAUAUUGGUCAAUGGACGAGAGUCUGAACCAGCCAAGUAGCGUGAAGGAUGACUGCCCUAUGGUUUGUAAACUUCUUUUAUAAAGGAAUAAAACGAGGCACGUGUGCCUUUUUGCAUGUACUUUAUGAAUAAGGAUCGGCUAACUCCGUGCCAGCAGCCGCGGUAAUACGGAGGAUCCGAGCGUUAUCCGGAGUUAUUGGGUUUAAAGGGAGCGUAGAUGGGUUGUUCAGUCAGUUGUGAAAUUGUGCGGCUCAACCUUAAAAUUGCAAUUGAUACUGGCAGUCUUGAGUACAGUUGAGGUAGGCGGAAUUCGUGGUGUAGCGGUGAAAUGCUUAGAUAUCACGAAGAACCCCGAUUGCGAAGGCAGCUUACUAAACUGUGACUGACAUUGAUGCUCGAAAGUGUGGGUAUCAAACAGGAUUAGAUACCCCAGUAGUC
RNAcentral lists this ribosomal RNA (460 nucleotides) under uncultured bacterium. Its description in RNAcentral is "partial 16S ribosomal RNA". It matches the Rfam family "Bacterial small subunit ribosomal RNA", at positions 338 to 795 of the family's 1533-position model. The record is from RNAcentral.